AGUGAACGCUGGCGGUAGGCCUAACACAUGCGAGUCGAACGGCAGCACAGUAAGAGCUUGCUCUUACGGGUGGCGAGUGGCGGACGGGUGAGGAAUACAUCGGAAUCUACUUUUUCGUGGGGGAUAACGUAGGGAAACUUACGCUAAUACCGCAUACGACCUACGGGUGAAAGCAGGGGAUCUUCGGACCUUGCGCGAUUGAAUGAGCCGAUGUCGGAUUAGCUAGUUGGCGGGGUAAAGGCCCACCAAGGCGACGAUCCGUAGCUGGUCUGAGAGGAUGAUCAGCCAAACUGGAACUGAGACACGGUCCAGACUCCUACGGGAGGCAGCAGUGGGGAAUAUUGGACAAUGGGCGCAAGCCUGAUCCAGCCAUACCGCGUGGGUGAAGAAGGCCUUCGGGUUGUAAAGCCCUUUUGUUGGGAAAGAAAAGCAGCAGGUUAAUACCCCGCUGUUCUGACGGUACCCAAAGAAUAAGCACCGGCUAACUUCGUG
RNAcentral lists this ribosomal RNA (492 nucleotides) under uncultured bacterium. Its description in RNAcentral is "partial 16S ribosomal RNA". It matches the Rfam family "Bacterial small subunit ribosomal RNA", at positions 29 to 507 of the family's 1533-position model. The record is from RNAcentral.